RNAcentral lists this ribosomal RNA (541 nucleotides) under uncultured bacterium. Its description in RNAcentral is "bacterial SSU rRNA". It matches the Rfam family "Bacterial small subunit ribosomal RNA", at positions 345 to 879 of the family's 1533-position model. The record is from RNAcentral.
GAGGCAGCAGGGGGGAAUCUUGGGCAAUGGGCGAAAGCCUGACCCAGCGACGCCGCGUGGGGGAAGAAGGCCUUCGGGUCGUAAACCCCUGUUCUGGAGGAAGAACCCAGGAUAGGUGAAUAACCUAUCCUGGCUGACGGUACUCCAGGAGAAAGCCACGGCUAACUGCGUGCCAGCAGCCGCGGUAAUACGCAGGUGGCGAGCGUUGCCCGGAAUUACUGGGCGUAAAGGGUGCGUAGGCGGCCGGACAAGUCAUAGGUUAAAGCCCGGAGCUCAACUCCGGAAAGGCCUAUGAUACUGUCUGGCUUGAGGGCCGGAGAGGCUGGCGGAAUUCCCGGUGUAGGGGUGAAAUCCGUAGAUAUCGGGAGGAACACCGGUGGGGAAGCCGGCCAGCUGGACGGUUCCUGACGCUGAGGCACGAAAGCGUGGGGAGCAAACCGGAUUAGAUACCCGGGUAGUCCACGCCGUAAACGAUGGGCGCUAGGUGUGGGGGUGAAAGCCUCUGUGCCGUAGCUAACGCGUUAAGCGCCCCGCCUGGGGA